CCACUCUCAGGAUUGCAUUUGGAGAGUUUCCAGUACUCUACAAGUCUCAGCUAGGGAAGGGAAAGUCAAGCAGAGGCCUACCUAUUCCACUCUUAGCUUGGGCAGUGGCUAGUGAAUGGAAGACAAUCUGCUACACGU
This is a small nucleolar RNA of Tachyglossus aculeatus (Australian echidna), 138 nucleotides long. NCBI's taxonomy places the organism in Eukaryota, Metazoa, Chordata, Mammalia, Monotremata, Tachyglossidae. The record is from RefSeq and is a predicted model, not a curated record.